Molecule: ribosomal RNA, 502 nt
Filed under: uncultured bacterium
Lineage: Bacteria
Description: bacterial SSU rRNA
Rfam family: Bacterial small subunit ribosomal RNA
Source: RNAcentral
CGGACGAACGGCUGGCGGCGUGCCUAAUACAUGCAAGUCGAGCGGGGAUUAUGCUUGAUCGCUUCGGUGAGACGGCAUAUAUCCUAGCGGCGGACGGGUGAGUAACGCGUGGGUAAUCUACCUCGUAGUUCGGGAUAACAGGCCGAAAGGCUUGCUAAUACCGGAUGAGUUCAUGCUUAUGCAUAUAGGCAUGAAGAAAGGGCUAGCCCGCUAUGAGAUGAGCCCGCGUCCCAUUAGCUUGUUGGUGGGGUAACGGCCUACCAAGGCAACGAUGGGUAGGGGUUCUGAGAGGAAAGCCCCCCACACUGGUACUGAGACACGGACCAGACUCCUACGGGAGGCAGCAGUAAGGAAUAUUGGGCAAUGGUCGAAAGACUGACCCAGCCAUGCCGCGUGCAGGAUGAAGGCCCUAUGGGUUGUAAACUGCUUUUAGCCGGGAAUAAACACCCGUUUUAUAACGGGCCCGAAGGUACCGGCUGAAUAAGCAUCGGCUAACUCCAUG